Molecule: RNA transcript, 3019 nt
Organism: Cylas formicarius (sweet potato weevil)
Lineage: Eukaryota; Metazoa; Arthropoda; Insecta; Coleoptera; Brentidae
Gene: msl-2
Gene name: E3 ubiquitin-protein ligase MSL2
Exons: 4
Source: RefSeq, a predicted model, not a curated record
AGAUGGUGCAUUGAAUGGUUACUAAAUCUCGCAAAAAUAAGAAAUUAAACAAAACUUAAAUCUAUCAGGAUCCCUGAGAGGUAUAGUAAUGACUUUUCUUAUAAAAUUUAUAAAAAUUACACUUUUAAAUUAGCAAGUAACAGAUGGUAUAUGUCAUUUAUUGGGGAAUGAAUAUAGCCAUUUGGCAACCUUGCAAUGUGUAUUUGGUUUAAAAUAAAAUCAAAACAUUUUUUGUUGAAGCAAAUUUGAAAAUAAUAUACUAUUGUUAAUAACCAGUACAAAUAUGUCAUUUCCAUGAAUGCGGCACGAAAAGUACGUGAAGUAUUUUUAAGCUAUUAAUCGGAAUACGUCGUAUAACGCCGAUAUAAACAAACCCUUUAUUCUAACCUAAGAACAAUGUCGUCAAUAUCUAAAGAGAAGCACCCAACGCAAACGAAAAUGAAUUCCACGAAUCUGUAUGUGACAACAACACAGAUAAUACUAAGAUCAGAUCCAAAUAAUCCCGGGUCCUGGCAGGAUCUGUACCGACUAGUACCAUACCUACGCAACUCCUUGUGUUGUGUUGUAUGUUCCAACCUGUUAGUGGAACCUCAUUCGCCAGUUAAUGCUCAGUGCCAGCAUCACGUAUGCAAGAGAUGUAAAGGUGGAAGAAAAAGGUUAAAACCAGCUUGUGAAAAUUGUAAAGAUUGCCAAGACUAUGGAGAAAAUAAGAGUUUGCGUAUCCUAAUGCAGAUGUAUAAAAAAAUGUGUUUGACUAUAAUGAACUCCCCAAUUUUCCUUUGCAUUAAAUCUCAAGCCUGCCAACCUGGUACAGGUUUCGAGAGGGGGGCAAGUAAUUUAAUUCAACUUAUCAGAGAAGGUGCUCAAUUUGAAGAUGACUAUAAAAGCCAAGGCGGUCUGCCAAAAUCAACAUAUUCUAUACUACCCUGCAUUUACACAAAAUCCGCUUGUCCUCAGAAUAUUCCUGCAUUGCAAAAUUUAGGAGAGACCUCAAAAAAUUUACCAUGUAGUCAAAAUAGAUCAUUAUAUUCAGUUGUUUAUCCAGGUUCGGGAAAUAAAAUUACUAUUAAGAGAAAGCCAAAGGAUAGUACAAAUUGUAAUACAACAAAUAAUGCACUUGUUAAUAGCAUAAGUUCAUGUAAACCAAAGGAAAUUUCUGAAAAGGGAAUAUUUAAAAAACCCUGCAUGAAAGCAAAAAAAGGAUGCAGAUGUGGGAACGCAACCGCAACACCCGGGAAAUUAACAUGUUGCGGUCAACGAUGUCCCUGCUAUGUAGAAAGUAAAGCUUGCAUAGAUUGUAAAUGCCGUGGUUGUCGGAAUCCUCACAGACCUGAUGGGAAUAAAGUUAUGCCCUAUCUACAAGAACUUGAUUCCUCACAAAUGGUAAUGUCUUCAAUCUCCGAAAUGCGCCUACAACAUUUGCAACUGCUACCAACUUCAUCUUCACAGCAACAUUCUCAACAUUUAUUAGACGACACAAUGCAACCUGUUAAGUUAGAGGGUCUUCAAUUAGAAACACAGUUUUUUACAACAGACGCUAUGAAUCAACAAUAUAAAGCCUACAAGUGUAAGAAUACCCUAAAUUUAUUAACCUAGUGCUGUCCAUAGAGUUGAAGAGUUUAUUAUGGUAGUGGCAACACUGCAUGGUGCGUUUUACUUUGUUUUUAACCUAUUGAAUGUAUUGGGAAGCAGCUUCGACCCAAUUCAGUCAUUAACAACGUCAGAUUUAAUAACGUAUGGACUAAGCGAAGAAGAAGAAGAUGAUACGGAAAUAACAGUAGUAUGACCUUUAGACCCUGGUAUGUCAAUUUUAGAUGAUUUAUAAUGAUUGAUUUUUUAAAACAAAAUUAUAUCUUUUUAUUUAAAGGAUUAUGAUCUAGUAACAUAGAAGUUGAUCCUUUAAUAUUUUUUGAUAUUUUAUACAUGUGGUAUUUUCUCAACAACGAAGGUAUACUUCAUACUGUAUAUGGUCUGCCCAUGAUGACUGCACAGGCAUUCAUUUUUGAAUUUCCAACAACUGAACUUCAAACAAAAGAGCUAGGAUUUAUAUUUAUAUUUUAAUUAUAUACAUCUUAAUAUAUUAUAUUUAUAUUAGAAUAUCCAGUUCAUUCUGUUAAAAUCAAAUAUACGCUAAAGGAACAAUUAGAUUCCUUUCCCUUUUCAUAAAAAAUCACGAAACUCUAUAUUAUUAUAUAGAUAACAUAAAAUUUUGGAUAGUCUAUCGAUUCUAAAAAACAAAAAUGUACUUAAUAGCUCUCGUUUUGAGGUUCAUUUAAAGUUUUUAGUUUGUUAUUUUUCGUUGCCUCGAAUAAUACAGGGAAAGUCAAAACUAACUAUUUGUUCAGUACUCUUUGGCGGACCCUGUACAGAGAUCGAAUUAUGAAGCUCUGUUCAAUUGUGGUUUUUAAAAACUGCAGCAGUUGAAUCAAAAAUUAUAACUGGGAAAAAUGUUAUUGAUGGGAAUUGUGGAAGGGAUAUAAGUUAUUUACAACGCUUCUAUUAUUGUUUAAGUGAUAACUCAACUUAGGGAACUUAUUUUUACCUUAUUUAUUUCCUAGUUUUAUUUAUUAAAUGCACCAAAAUUGUUUUGUACAUUGUAAUUUGUAGUGCUGAUGUUUUUGAGGUUAUUUCUUCACCCAUUCUUUCCAUAUCGCAAUAAGUGUUGUUGAUUUUCUAUGUUGUGAAGGAUGGACCUCAAAUUAUUCAACUUUUGUAUUUUAAGGAUAAUAACAUACAUUUACGUAUGUUUGUUGUUGUGAUAUUUAAUCCAUAAGAUAAAUUUAACUAUUUUUUUAAAAACGGAAAGAUUAUAUAAGAUCAGGUAAGUCUCGUGCGAAAUAAAUGUGAAUAAAUGGAAACGAUUUUGACUAAUGCGUUUUUCUAUUUAAUUUUAAAAUUUGUUUUUAAUUAAUGACGUAGAUUUAACUGUGUAUCAAGCAGCGUCGCAUUUGUGAGGGAGUCGCCGGAUUGGGUGAUUUAUAAUAAAUUGGCAAUAAAAAUUUACAACAUGAACAGUGUG